UACGGGGGGUGCGAGCGUUGUCCGGAAUCACUGGGCGUAAAGGGCGCGUAGGUGGUUUGAUAAGCGUGCGGUGAAAGCCCGGGGCUCAACCCCGGGUCGGCCGUGCGAACUGUCGAGCUGGAGCACUGUAGAGGCAGGUGGAAUUCCGGGUGUAGCGGUGGAAUGCGUAGAGAUCCGGAAGAACACCGGUGGCGAAGGCGGCCUGCUGGGCAGUGGCUGACGCUGAGGCGCGACAGCGUGGGGAGCAAACAGG
Molecule: ribosomal RNA, 253 nt
Filed under: uncultured bacterium
Lineage: Bacteria
Description: partial 16S ribosomal RNA
Rfam family: Bacterial small subunit ribosomal RNA
Source: RNAcentral